UUUAGAGUUUGAUCCUGGCUCAGAUGGAACGCUGGCGGCAGGCUUAACACAUGCAAGUCGAGCGGAAACGAGUUAUCUGAACCUUCGGGGAACGAUAACGGCGUCGAGCGGCGGACGGGUGAGUAAUGCCUAGGAAAUUGCCCUGAUGUGGGGGAUAACCAUUGGAAACGAUGGCUAAUACCGCAUGAUGCCUACGGACCAAAGAGGGGGACCUUCGGGCCUCUCGCGUCAGGAUAUGCCUAGGUGGGAUUAGCUACCUGGUGAGGUAAGGGCUCACCAAGGCGACGAUCCCUAGCUGGUCUGGGAGGAUGAUCAGCCACACUGGAACUGAGACACGGUCCAGACUCCUACGGGAGGCAGCAGUGGGGAAUAUUGCACAAUGGGCGCAAGCCUGAUGCAGCCAUGCCGCGUGUAUGAAGAAGGCCUUCGGGUUGUAAAGUCUUUUCAGUCGUGAGGAAAGCGGCGUCGUUAAUAGCGGCAUCGUGAACGUAGCGACAGAAC
This 501-nucleotide ribosomal RNA is filed under the name Vibrio sp. M1H-102. RNAcentral's name for it is "bacterial SSU rRNA". It matches the Rfam family "Bacterial small subunit ribosomal RNA", at positions 1 to 487 of the family's 1533-position model. Lineage: Bacteria; Pseudomonadati; Pseudomonadota; Gammaproteobacteria; Vibrionales; Vibrionaceae. The record is from RNAcentral.